CAGGAUUGGCAAGUUUAUAAUUUAAAAUAAUUUUGCUACUAUGUAGUAAAAUUAUUCAUAUCGCACACGCGCUUGAGUACAUCUUUUUCUUUCUCUACGACCGGUUAAAGUCCUUCGUUUUUGCGCCGUUAUUUAUUUAUUUAUUUAUUUGAUAUUAGGAAGGAGCACCGUCUUUAGCCGUAGCGCAGGCGGAUUGCCAGAACUGACCGUAUAAAUUCUUCUCCCCUGAUGAUUUUUUUUUUCAAACGGGAUAAAUAUUCAAAUAAAAACUAUCGCUUCGCGGCGAGUCGACGACGAUUUUACAAAAAUAAAACUGGUAAACACGGCUGCAGCAGCGCCAAGGCAGAGCGAAUGGUCGAAACCCUUUUUUUACACGGCGCAUGCGCCAUAUCAAAUUUUGUAUCGCUUUUAUAUAAAUAUUCAAACAUUAAUCGGAAAACGUAAUUAGCGAUGGCACAUCUGUGAAUGAAGAAAUUUAAUCUGAAACAAAA
Molecule: long non-coding RNA, 491 nt
Filed under: Androctonus crassicauda
Lineage: Eukaryota; Metazoa; Arthropoda; Arachnida; Scorpiones; Buthidae
Source: RNAcentral